ACACAUGCAAGUCGAACGAUGAUGCCCAGCUUGCUGGGCGGAUUAGUGGCGAACGGGUGAGUAAUACGUGAGUAACCUGCCCUUGACUCUGGGAUAAGCCUGGGAAACUGGGUCUAAUACUGGAUACUACCUCUUGCCGCAUGGUGGGUGGUGGAAAGGGUUUUACUGGUUUUGGAUGGGCUCACGGCCUAUCAGCUUGUUGGUGGGGUAAUGGCUCACCAAGGCGACGACGGGUAGCCGGCCUGAGAGGGUGACCGGCCACACUGGGACUGAGACACGGCCCAGACUCCUACGGGAGGCAGCAGUGGGGAAUAUUGCACAAUGGGCGGAAGCCUGAUGCAGCGACGCCGCGUGAGGGAUGACGGCCUUCGGGUUGUAAACCUCUUUCAGUAGGGAAGAAGCGAGAGUGACGGUACCUGCAGAAGAAGCGCCGGCUAACUACGUGCCAGCAGCCGCGGUAAUACGUAGGGCGCAAGCGUUGUCCGGAAUUAUUGGGCGUAAAGAGCUCGUAGGCGGUUUGUCGCGUCUGCUGUGAAAGCCCGGGGCUCAACCCCGGGUCUGCAGUGGGUACGGGCAGACUAGAGUGCAGUAGGGGAGACUGGAAUUCCUGGUGUAGCGGUGAAAUGCGCAGAUAUCAGGAGGAACACCGAUGGCGAAGGCAGGUCUCUGGGCUGUUACUGACGCUGAGGAGCGAAAGCAUGGGGAGCGAACAGGAUUAGAUACCCUGGUAGUCCAUGCCGUAAACGUUGGGCACUAGGUGUGGGGGACAUUCCACGUUUUCCGCGCCGUAGCUAACGCAUUAAGUGCCCCGCCUGGGGAGUACGGCCGCAAGGCUAAAACUCAAAGGAAUUGACGGGGGCCCGCACAAGCGGCGGAGCAUGCGGAUUAAUUCGAUGCAACGCGAAGAACCUUACCAAGGCUUGACAUUCACCGGACCGCCCCAGAGAUGGGGUUUCCCUUCGGGGCUGGUGGACAGGUGGUGCAUGGUUGUCGUCAGCUCGUGUCGUGAGAUGUUGGGUUAAGUCCCGCAACGAGCGCAACCCUCGUUCUAUGUUGCCAGCACGUGAUGGUGGGGACUCAUAGGAGACUGCCGGGGUCAACUCGGAGGAAGGUGGGGAUGACGUCAAAUCAUCAUGCCCCUUAUGUCUUGGGCUUCACGCAUGCUACAAUGGCCGGUACAAAGGGUUGCGAUACUGUGAGGUGGAGCUAAUCCCAAAAAGCCGGUCUCAGUUCGGAUUGAGGUCUGCAACUCGACCUCAUGAAGUCGGAGUCGCUAGUAAUCGCAGAUCAGCAACGCUGCGGUGAAUACGUUCCCGGGCCUUGUACACACCGCCCGUCAAGUCACGAAAGUUGGUAACACCCGAAGCCGGUGGCCUAACCCCUUGUGGGAGGGAGCCGUCGAA
RNAcentral lists this ribosomal RNA (1403 nucleotides) under Kocuria rosea. Its description in RNAcentral is "bacterial SSU rRNA". It matches the Rfam family "Bacterial small subunit ribosomal RNA". Lineage: Bacteria; Bacillati; Actinomycetota; Actinomycetes; Micrococcales; Micrococcaceae. The record is from RNAcentral.